CAAGGAUCAGCGCGCCUGAGUCCACGUGACGGGGCGGCACGCCAAAGAGCUCGAAGGGCUCGGGCUGCACGAGGCUGCUGGAGCAGCGUGACUGUAACGUGGUGAACACGAGCUCUCACACGCCCAAGCCUCGCGACAAUUUCCAGACCUGGGACGUGCCGUUGAGCUCGCGUCUGCGCACAACGUGUCUCGCGCCUUCCCGCGUUUUUCUGGAUUCUUCCACCACCGGAAGAGAAGCAGCCGGCGCCUGUUCUGGUCGCGGGGUGAAGAACGCAGAACCCCGAGGGAGCCAAAGCUGUGAUCUUUCCUCAUCCCUGAUCAGCCAGACGUCGCUAUUCCAGGCUCAGACACUCGACCAUCAUGCCUACACUGCGGUCCUCCUCCUCCCCAAGCAGUGUGUCCUCCCCACUGCGGAGAGCGUCGGGAGGCGGACAGAGGGUCUUGUCUGCGUCUUCUAGUUCGUCUGUCAAUAUGCCCUGUGGUGACAGGGACUCGGACCAGACUGCAGAGGGGAAUAAAAUAACCUCAUACAAGAUCUGAUUUAUCUCCUGGUUAUUUUUUUAAUUGGCUUCCUCUGACUCAUUUCUAUCAGUGCCACUGUUGGAGAGAAGAUUAUAUCUAUGUUAUAAACUUAACUCUAGUCAAUACAACUUACAAACUUUUUUCAAGGGAUGAAAUUUAAUUCUAGGCACAUAUUAACAUCCAAGUUAUAUAUGAGUAAUAUGCGACUUACCAGGCCAUGCUGAUUUUUCGCCACAGCAGUGAUCCCUCUGCCUGUUUA
This is a long non-coding RNA of Lynx canadensis (Canada lynx), 781 nucleotides long. RefSeq lists it as uncharacterized. The transcript has 3 exons. Lineage: Eukaryota; Metazoa; Chordata; Mammalia; Carnivora; Felidae. The record is from RefSeq and is a predicted model, not a curated record.